CAUAAAUUCAAUAGAAUUAUUUUUCAUUUAACGUGUAUGCAAUUAAUUUAAUUUGUACGUCUUGGUGUGUUUAAAUGCAUUUAUUCACAGUUUCCCGAGAACUGACAUACAGACAUACUUGUAUUAGUAGAGCUUAAGGUUCAUCAUAAAAGAAUAAUUAUCAUUUAUUUAUGUGCAUUACUUUUUCCAUGUUUUGUUUACCUUGAGAUUUAAUAAACCGUAUAAAAAUACAUUCAUUUACAUAUUUGAUAACCUUAAUCAUGAUUGUAUAAAUAUAUGCCUCAC
This 285-nucleotide long non-coding RNA is filed under the name Mytilus galloprovincialis (Mediterranean mussel). Lineage: Eukaryota; Metazoa; Mollusca; Bivalvia; Mytilida; Mytilidae. The record is from RNAcentral.